Molecule: long non-coding RNA, 299 nt
Filed under: Felis catus (domestic cat)
Lineage: Eukaryota; Metazoa; Chordata; Mammalia; Carnivora; Felidae
Description: lncRNA (ENSFCAG00000044615.2)
Source: RNAcentral
AUUUCUAACGUAUACACCGUGGAGCACGGGCCAGCGGCUGUGAGACACAGGCAGGGGGAGGGCGGACCUGGGGACAGGGUCACGGAGAGCGGUGGCUCGGCAGGGCCCUCGGAGCACGAGCAGACAGGACAAAGUCCAGACUGGCCAUGGUGUGUCCCUCGCAGCCAGCACCCCCGCAGGGACACGGGGUUGCGGAAUCAAAAAGGAAAAUCGGUGGGAUCCCAAGCAUUGGAAAGGAAAGUGUGGGACCCCGGUCACCUCAUGCUCCUGGGAGAAGAAUGGCGUCCUGUGUGACACCC